UUUGAUGUUUUUUGACAAUUCGAGGAACACCAGUCAUGUAUUUGACAGAACAUUCCUCAGUUUGGAUUUGUUUGAUGUUUUUUGUAAGAUUAGACUGGAGUUGUGACUUUGAGGAAGGAAACGACAGAAAUAAGUACCUUUCUCAUCACAUCUUAUCAACUAAAUGUGCAGUCAGCAUCACGCAUCACUAUUAAUGUAAGCCUCCAUUUCCUAGGAAGUGAUUGACAGGUUUCCAAGGUGUCAAGUUGCUCUCUCCCACCUCCACCCAAUCAUCCUGCACUCCUUGGAAGGAAGUUUGAGCACUGUAUGUGGAACGCCAGAUAUAGUGAGGAGUUGUGCUGCAUUUUCCUGAGAAUGGAAUAUCUAUAUAAAUUAUUUGGAAUUCUUCUACAUCUAAGAUUUGUAAAAGAGAAAGAGACGCAGAAAUCUACAAUUGAAGAAAAGGAAAAGCAGAAAAACAAAGACAAGGAGGAAGACAUAGAAUGUUGAGAGCUGCUUUUGGAGCUGGGUGCAAGGCAGGGGAAAGGGGCUGGAGAUUGAGUUAUUAAUCAAGCAUACCAAUGUGAUGAAGUCUCCAUAAUAUCUCUAAAAAUGGAUUUUGGAACCUUCUGAGUUGGUGAACACAUCCACAUUCCAAAAAGGUGGUGCACCCUAACUCUAUCAGGACAGAACCUCUGUGCUUGGGAACCUACCCACCCUCCCUGCUUUGUACCUCUUUGUGUGGCUUUCAUCUGUAUCCUUUGUA
Non-coding RNA from Ictidomys tridecemlineatus (thirteen-lined ground squirrel), 745 nucleotides. The record is from RefSeq and is a predicted model, not a curated record. NCBI's taxonomy places the organism in Eukaryota, Metazoa, Chordata, Mammalia, Rodentia, Sciuridae.